GACGAACGCUGGCGGCGUGCUUAACACAUGCAAGUCGAGCGAUGAAACCUAGCUUGCUAGGUCGAUUAGUGGCGAACGGGUGAGUAACACGUGACUAACCUGCCCCUUUCUCUGGGAUAACGCUCCGAAAGGAGUGCUAAUACCGGAUACUCACACCGAGGCACAUGCCUUGGUGUGGAAAGUUUUUCGGAAAGGGAUGGAGUCGCGGCCUAUCAGCUUGUUGGUGAGGUAACGGCUCACCAAGGCGACGACGGGUAGCCGGCCUGAGAGGGCGACCGGACACACUGGGACUGAGACACGGCCCAGACUCCUACGGGAGGCAGCAGUGGGGAGUAUUGCACAAUGGGCGCAAGCCUGAUGCAGCGACGCCGCGUGAGGGAUGAAGGUCUUCGGAUUGUAAACCUCUUUCAGUAGGGACGAAGCGAAAGUGACGGUACCUAAAGAAGAAGCACCGGCUAACUACGUGCCAGCCGCCGCCGUAA
RNAcentral lists this ribosomal RNA (482 nucleotides) under uncultured bacterium. Its description in RNAcentral is "partial 16S ribosomal RNA". It matches the Rfam family "Bacterial small subunit ribosomal RNA", at positions 28 to 523 of the family's 1533-position model. The record is from RNAcentral.